Nipponia nippon (crested ibis) is the source of this 46-nucleotide non-coding RNA. NCBI's taxonomy places the organism in Eukaryota, Metazoa, Chordata, Aves, Pelecaniformes, Threskiornithidae. The record is from Rfam.
CCAAAGGCUCUUUUCAGAGCCACCCACACAGUCAGAAAAAGAGUUG